Molecule: long non-coding RNA, 1496 nt
Filed under: Homo sapiens (human)
Lineage: Eukaryota; Metazoa; Chordata; Mammalia; Primates; Hominidae
Description: HSALNT0386070
Source: RNAcentral
CAGAAUGUUCCUUGCUGCAGAUGCAUUGGCCCCAUCUGCAGGUCCUCUUUGACACCUACCUUACUCUCUCCCUCCACUCACACUCUGAGAACUGUGCUCAGGGGCAGCGCUACAACUUCCACAUUGGUCUUUACAGGGCUUGAGUGAUUAUUUCAAGAACAGAACGCUGUGUGGAAACCUUUACCAUAUUUCGUUGUAUCUAAGACACAUUUUUUUUUUUUGAAAUUUAACAUCUCUAAGGUUGGGUUAUGUUUCUUCAUCAUUGUCAGGUUGGAGCUUAAUCAGCAGCACUUUUUUUUAAUGUCACACACAGUAAUGGUGAUGCAUCUCACAAUUGAGAUCAUCUUAGACAUGAUGGAAUAUGGAAUCGUGUGCCUGUUACAAGCCAGGCUCUUGUCUGGGUUCUAGAGACGGUGGAAACCAAGACAGCACCAUCCUCUAGUGGUGUUCACAUCCCACCACAGUGGAGUCAGGACUUUGAAGUCCUCCAUUGGAUCUUCUCGGAAGAUGAGGGAAAUGAGAGAGUGUGGAGAGAGAUUUUGUAAGUCCGGUCUGGAAGUGGUCAUUGUUCAGAAUCCAGCCACGUGGGUACAUGGAACUGUAAGAAUAUGUUCUGUGGACACUACAGAUGCAGAUUAAAUCACCUGCAAAGUGAAUCUGUCAGCCCUAACAAUAAGAAUAGCUCUUUUAUGAUGAGCAGGUGAGACCAGGUAAUUACCGAAGAAAGAGAGUGAUGUGUUCAUUGAAGUCUACUCAUGGAGGAAAGAAGAUCAAUAAUAUGAGACUAUCUUGGGAUGGGACCUGGGCGUGUAUGAUUUAAGUAUUCUCAAGUCAUCAUGGAUAGUUAGAGUGGAGAAUCACUUUUCUAUACCACAAACAUCUCGAAUACCAUGAGAAGUGUUAAGACCACCCAGAAGAGGUAGAGAAACUUCUUUUUGGUUGGAGCAUCAGUGAAAACAUCUUGGAAAAGAUUCUAUUACUCUUAAAUUGCAUAUGGUUGGUGUUGACCUAACAUCCUGACCUGUCAGUACAAUUUGAAUCCUGAUUCUGCCAUCAAACAUGCCAAUGAUUCCUUCCAUAAAUGUGGCUAUUUCAACAUGGGAAACUGAAAUCGGGCAUAUCCCUGCGGAAGAAGCUGUCUCUUAGCGAAGAAUAAAACUGUGGACUGACCCCCACCCAUUUGCGAAGAAAGUACUGGGUCUUCAGCUUUCAUUGUUCAGCCGGUGGUCUUUGUGGACAACACCAGGGGCCCCUCCUGCUGAAGACUGUCUGGACUUCCUGAUUUUCACUCCUGUAUAAACCCCCUCCCCCAUUACUACCUUUGUCUCCUUGGGGAAAAAAAAUGUUUUUCACUUAAGCAAAAUAAUAACUACCCAGUAUUUGUUUCUGGAGUGAAAUUGUAAACUUCAUUGUACAUUCUUCCUGGCUUUGAUGCUUAUCGUGAAGAGUUCAGUGAAAAUAAAUUGUUUUUAUGAAAGCAGAGAAACCAUUUGAUA